RNAcentral lists this ribosomal RNA (429 nucleotides) under bacterium. RNAcentral describes it as "partial 16S ribosomal RNA". It matches the Rfam family "Bacterial small subunit ribosomal RNA", at positions 355 to 776 of the family's 1533-position model. The record is from RNAcentral.
UGGGGAAUUUUGGACAAUGGGCGCAAGCCUGAUCCAGCCAUGCCGCGUGCAGGAUGAAGGCCUUCGGGUUGUAAACUGCUUUUGUACGGAACGAAACGGCUCUUUCUAAUAAAGAGGGCUAAUGACGGUACCGUAAGAAUAAGCACCGGCUAACUACGUGCCCGCAGCCGCGGUAAUACGUAGGGUGCGAGCGUUAAUCGGAAUUACUGGGCGUAAAGCGUGCGCAGGCGGUGAUGUAAGACAGAUGUGAAAUCCCCGGGCUCAACCUGGGAACUGCAUUUGUGACUGCAUCGCUGGAGUGCGGCAGAGGGGGAUGGAAUUCCGCGUGUAGCAGUGAAAUGCGUAGAUAUGCGGAGGAACACCGAUGGCGAAGGCAAUCCCCUGGGCCUGCACUGACGCUCAUGCACGAAAGCGUGGGGAGCAAACAGG